CCUGUAAGUGUCGGUCAUUACCACCGCUACACCGUUUAUACGACGGUUGCCAACACCCUGCCCCAAAUCCUGCCCGGCGACAAACGGAAUCCAAAGCAGCGACAGAGCUAUUCCCUUCCUUCCCUGAACCACAUCAGGUAACGACUUCGUCCCGCACAUCGCUUAACCACCAUCCUCACCAGUAGGUCUGGUAGACAUAGUAGCAGCCAUAGAUCAAAGAAGCAGAAAAAUCAAAUUAGAAGAGAUAAAGAGUUGGGGGAAAAUCGGAAAGGGCUCGCUGAAAAAGUUGCUUGGAAAGUGAGAUCUUAAAAUUUGGGUAGGUUUUUCAUUGGUUGUGUUUUCAGGUGUUUUAUUUUGAUAUCGGGGAGAACCGGAGGGGUCGGUUUCUGAAGUCAUCUUUCAGGUACGUGCAGUCCGUUACGCGAUGAGGAUGGGCAGCAAACGUUUCUGCAAGCACGUCAACGUACGUCUAUUCUUGCACCACGUGUUCCGAAGGAGCUGCUUUUUACUUCGUCUUCUUAUGUCGCGGGUCUUGUGAAGCACUAAAGUGCGCUUCUGGUAUGCGGAAAAGUAUUUCGUUGUCUUCCUUACAUCAAAGACCCAAGCCAGUCGCGAUAGUGGGUCAGUUUUGUUAAUUGCAGGUUGUAUUUCUUAACAUAUCAGUUUCAAAGUUGUGCGUUGCUGGUAACAAGACACAUAUGUAGAGAACAAAAUUGCUCAGACCUUGACGAGUGUCAACCGUGUUACUACAAAGGAUUCAUAAUAAAUCGGAUUGCAUAGAGUGUCGCUGCUGGUAAGAUUUUAUUAAUUGCAAAUUGUAUUUUUUAUUAUGUGAGCUUCAUAGUUGUAAGUUGUAUCUAAGGGGACAGGUGUGUAAGGUACAUGUAAUGUGCAAUAUUGCAAAUGCACCUGUACUGAGUUUCAUGUUUU
This is a long non-coding RNA of Helianthus annuus (common sunflower), 930 nucleotides long. RefSeq lists it as uncharacterized. The record is from RefSeq and is a predicted model, not a curated record. The transcript has 3 exons. NCBI's taxonomy places the organism in Eukaryota, Viridiplantae, Streptophyta, Magnoliopsida, Asterales, Asteraceae.